AGGAUGAACGCUGGCGGCGUGCCUAAUACAUGCAAGUCGAGCGAUGAGGCUCCUUCGGGAGUACAUCAGCGGCGAACGGGUGAGUAACACGUGGGUGACUUGCCCCGAAGAUGGGGAUACCUCUGGAAACGGGGGCUAAUACCCAAUGUGCUCGGUGAUUCGGUUCAUCGAGUAAAGCUCCGGCGCUUCGGGAGAGGCCUGCGGCCCAUCAGCUAGUUGGUAGGGUAACGGCCUACCAAGGCAGAGACGGGUAGGGGGCGUGAGAGCGCGGACCCCCACACUGGCACUGAGAUACGGGCCAGACUCCUACGGGAGGCAGCAGUAAGGGAUAUUGCGCAAUGGACGAAAGUCAGACGCAGCGACGCCGCGUGGGCGAUGAAGGCCUUCGGGUUGUAAAGCCCUUUUAUGGGGGAAGAGAAAAAGGACGGUACCCCAGGAAUAAGUCCCGGCUAACUACGUGUCAGCAGCCGCGGUAAAACGUAGGGGACAAGCGUUAUCCGGAUUCACUGGGCGUAAAGAGCGUUGAGGCGGUUCCGUAAGUUGGGCGUGAAAGCUCCGGGCUUAACUCGGAGAUGUCGUUCAAUACUGCGGGGCUUGAGGACAGCAGAGGAAGGUGGAAUUCCCGGUGUAGUGGUGAAAUGCGUAGAUAUCGGGAGGAACACCCGUGGCGAAGGCGGCCUUCUGGGCUGUUCCUGACGCUGAAGGCGAAAGCUAGGGGAGCGAGCGGGAUUAGAUACCCCGGUAGUCCUAGCUGUAAACGAUGGAUGCUGGGUGUGGGGGGUGUAAAUUCCCUCUGUGCCGAAGCAAACGCG
RNAcentral lists this ribosomal RNA (812 nucleotides) under uncultured organism. RNAcentral describes it as "bacterial SSU rRNA". It matches the Rfam family "Bacterial small subunit ribosomal RNA", at positions 26 to 859 of the family's 1533-position model. The record is from RNAcentral.